RNAcentral lists this ribosomal RNA (425 nucleotides) under uncultured bacterium. RNAcentral's name for it is "bacterial SSU rRNA". It matches the Rfam family "Bacterial small subunit ribosomal RNA", at positions 356 to 773 of the family's 1533-position model. The record is from RNAcentral.
GGGGAAUCUUCCGCAAUGGACGAAAGUCUGACGGAGCGACACCGCGUGGGUGAAGAAGGCCUUCGGGUCGUAAAGCCCUGUCAUUAGGGAAGAAACGUAGUGGGAAUAAUACGCCUAUUAUUUGACGGUACCUAAGGAGGAAGCCCCGGCUAACUAUGUGCCAGCAGCCGCGGUAAUACAUAGGGGGCGAGCGUUGUCCGGAAUCAUUGGGCGUAAAGGGCGCGUAGGCGGGAAUACAAGUCUGUUUUUAAAGUUCAGGGCUCAACCCUGUGAUGGACCAGAAACUGUAUUUCUUGAGGGCAGGAGAGGAAAGUGGAAUUCCUAGUGUAGCGGUGAAAUGCGUAGAUAUUAGGAGGAACACCAGUGGCGAAGGCGGCUUUCUGGACUGCAACUGACGCUGAGGCGCGAAAGCUGGGGGAGCGAAC